GAUGAACGCUAGCUACAGGCUUAACACAUGCAAGUCGCGGGGCAGCAUGGGGGUUGCUUGCAAUCCCCGAUGGCGACCGGCGCACGGGUGAGUAACGCGUAUUCAACCUGCCCUUCACCACGGGAUAACCCGGCGAAAGUCGGACUAAUACCGUAUGUUGUCCAUUGACGGCAUCCGAUUUGGACGAAAGGCUUGGCGGUGAGGGAUGGGGAUGCGUCCGAUUAGCCAGACGGCGGGGUAACGGCCCACCGUGGCUACGAUCGGUAGGGGUUCUGAGAGGAAGGUCCCCCACACUGGAACUGAGACACGGUCCAGACUCCUACGGGAGGCAGCAGUGAGGAAUAUUGAUCAAUGGGCGUAAGCCUGAACCAGCCAAGUAGCGUGCAGGAUGACGGCCCUAUGGGUUGUAAACUGCUUUUAUGCGGGGAUAAAGUGGCCCACGUGUGGGCCUUUGCAGGUACCGCAUGAAUAAGGACCGGCUAAUUCCGUG
Molecule: ribosomal RNA, 490 nt
Filed under: uncultured bacterium
Lineage: Bacteria
Description: partial 16S ribosomal RNA
Rfam family: Bacterial small subunit ribosomal RNA
Source: RNAcentral